CAACACGUUGCUCCAUACGGCCUCUGUUGUAUUGACUAAAAGAAAAGGCUGGACUUCUCUCCUGCUGAUGGCCCUGUCUGCAUGUGUGUGUGUGUGUGUGUGUGUGUGUGUGUGUGUGUGUGUGUGUGUUGCUAGCUCUCCGUUCUGCUCUUUCAGGUGUAACAACACUGGGAGAGUCAUGAAAUAUCAAACGUCAAAAGCAGUGAAAAAACACUUUAAUGCGUUGAUUUCCCAGAUAUUGCGUGUUUCCUUAAAGAUGCAAUGCAUUUAUUUAUAAUUUAUAGCAUAUCAUUGUCAUUGAGGAACGUUUUGGUGUAUCAUGUUUUUUUUUGUCAUAUGGACAAAUUAGCAGGAUCAUUAAAAACCAGUUGGAGGGCAUUGCAAAGUUAAAAGGGGACUUGGCGAAAGCAAUUUGGCUACCUUAGACUAAACCCAACGAUGGCUCUUUAAGAAAGAUAGAAACUGUCCGUGUUGGCAAACUUGUGAAUGGGUGAAUCAACCCCGCGCACCGCAAAUGACUAUAAUGAAGCUGGAUGACGGCUACCAGAUGAGACAAAAGCAGCCUUGAUCCGGCUCACACUGCUGCCUCUUGAAGCUGGUGAAUGCACGUGAAGGCCGAAGGGUCCGUGGCAGUGAGCGUUUGUUCCUGACAGCAUGGAACGCGCUCACCACCAGGGGGGAGCAACAGACACGCCAACGCCGCGACCACGUCAGUGUGGGGUCACUGGCGGCGAGUCCCCCCAGCUUCUGAAGGUCGAGGGAUACAGAAAUCCACAGUUGUUUGCAAAUAGUUUUUGUUUUGAUAUAAUGCAGCUUCGGUUUGGACGAUUGCAAAGGACCACACACCUCGUUUUAGGCAAAGACAACAUGAGAAAAGCACGAGGACCAUUCAAAAUGUAACGUUCGGACACAUUUUCUCAAUCCAUUCUAUGAGAAAGGUGAACGUGUCACAGUGUAGUGUGAAAACAACAAACUAAUCUGGGCACUGAGUGCUUCCUUCAAGUGGAGCGACCGUGAAAGAGAAACUUACUAAACUGGUUGGACGAGCCUGGCGAGGACACGACUAGUAUUUCACCUUUAAUCGUUUUUUGGGAACACAGCUGUGAUACAUAUGUGGAAGCACAAAACAGCUAUUCUGGGCCUCAUUCAACACUAAAUCCCUCCCCACUUUGAUAACAUCGCAUAAGACAUUUCACACAUUUAUAGUAUAUAAAGUUUAUAAAGUAACCGCCACAUGUGCUGUUGUGUGCAUGCUACAUUAUAUACUGGUAGGAUGUAUAUAACGUGUGCAAGGCCCGGUUAUUCAAGACAAAAAAGGUAAAAGUGAAGAUGUCCAGGAUGGACCCGGCCUCAACAGAAUAACCUCCAGACAUAAAUACAGCUCUUUUUCACUUAGAUUGUCCAAAAACGUUUGACGCUUCCAUUCUUUCCAUGUGGGUUCGAAGGUAGAGAGCAACAUAGAGAGCCGUCUCCUUUUACUCCUUUGUUACUAUUGUGGUCGAAUCCUCCGGUGUUUCUCCGCUCCCUGAAAGCACACAAAGGCAUCACAGAUGACUUUAUUCAGUUGUAAAUAUGGGGUCGGUGCAUUCAGCGGCUUGUAGAAAGUCGGCUUACAGAAGCACUUCUGCAGCCUCUCAGAUCUCUGCAGCAUGACGUACAGUAAGCCGAAGACCAACAACGUGCCAAAGAAGCCGCCAAUGAUACAACCAAUGAGAAUGGCGUGGCUGGUGCCGUUAUCUAGGGGUGAGGAUGAUAGUUAGAUAUACACUUUAUUAAUCCCCAAGGGGAAAUUAUUGUGCAAUAGCAGCAGUACAGUAAAUAAAGUGAGAAAUGAAAAAUGUAUACACAGCACAGUAGAAUAAAAUAAAAGAGCAGAACAUAUUAAAUUAAGAGAGAGGAGUAUGUACAGUGGGGUGGGAUAUGUAUUAAAUUAAAUUUGAAAAUUAAAUGAAGACAGUAGUGUUGUUGUUCAAAUAAACGAGGAUUUAGAGGUGUUUUGUUGUAAAGUCUUAUUGCAGUUAGCAGGAAUGUUUUCCUGUAUCUGGUCGGAUGGUCAGUAUCACUACUUGUCAUCUUUAAUGGCAUGUUGAACUAAGGAAAUACAAAUGACCUGUCUGUAUUUAUGCUGUGACAGACAGAAAUGCAGAUGUUAAAUUGAAUCGGAGGAAUCUUUACCGUAGACGUGCAGCACGGCAGCAGCGCUAUUAGGAUUCUUUGGCUGCUGACAGGAGACCUGUGUCCCGUUGUCGGAGAAAGAAGUUCCCUUUAGGGUCCACACAGCUGAUGACUCUCCAUUUCUCACCUCACAACUUCCAUAGAGAGCCUGAAGGGAGAGACGGGGAUGAAGAGGCUUUCAGAUAAGAAAUGAGAAGGGAUUGAAAACAACUGAACCUGACGUGAGCUGUGAGAAGCUCCCACUGGUAGAAACGUUAAAUAAUCAAAAUCAAAAGCAGCUUUUCAAGCACGACUCUGAGAGAUGUUGCUCUCUCCCUCCGCUUUGUGUGACAUCCAGCUAGUGUCACUGAGGGGGGAGGAAAGAAGAAGAUGAGGGUGAAGCGAGGCCUUAGAGGGAAUACAGAAUUAGACGCCGGGGCCAGCUUACCUGGGGAACGUCUUCCACGUGGCCCGAGGGGCACGUGAGGAGGUAGUUUCCGUGCGCCCCCCGCAAGGUGAAUGUGAAGUCUGGAGAAGCUUCGGGAACUCCACAGCGAAACACGGCCGGUUCUCCAACAGCCACUGUGACGUCGGCUGGGUGAGUGCGGAAACCGUCAGCGGCUGACGUGGUGAUGUUUUGAGCUGAAAGCAAGAUAACGUGUGGAGGACGUGUGUGUGUGUGUGUGUGUGUGUGUGUGUGUGAGAGAGUUUGAGAAAGAGAGAAGUACGAAAGAUCAAAGUGUGGAAAAUAAUAUAAUAAUAAUAACAUUUAAGGCAUUUUUAUAAUCUGUUUUAAAUCACUUUCCAUUUAUUCAAAUAGAAAAAAAGAAUCACACGAGGAAACAACAUAUGUGUAUGUGCAUGUUUUCAGUUCAACUCUAAUGUGAGUAAGUAGAACUUCACUAAGUGAUCUGGAAUCCCUGGAUGUGUUUCGUUACCUGAAGAGGGCGCAGCGAGUUGGAGAAGAGUCAGCAGGUGAAAGCAGAGAAGAAAACUCUUACUUUUCUUUCUCAUCUCUUCUUUUACCAUCAACUCCAUUAUUUUCUCCACUUAGUGUCUCUUAUUCUGUAAACAUUGAAACAUAUUACUUUUCUUUUCCACCCACACCAGAGUAACACACUAAGCGUGUAGUAAAAGAUUGCUUGUGUUUUCCUUCAGAUUACAUGUGAUGUGAAUGACUUUGAAAGUUAAUUCAAUGUAUUGUUACACGCACAUUUAAUGUGAAAAAGCUGCCAAUGUUUCAGGACACAUCCAAAUGUUAUCACUUGUAUUUUGUUUAUUGAGCACUUGGCAUCCACAGAUGUUAUAAAUCAAUGUUUUUCUCAAUCAAGUUUCUGUCACCCAUCUUGACUAUUUUGACAAAUAAAAUAAAAUGGGAUUAGUAUCUUGAAAUGUAAAGAAAUAGAUUAUUGACACUGACCGAGGAUGUGAACUGGAAAUCCCCACAGAAAGUCUGCAGCCUGCAGACAGCUUAUUUAUUUGAAGAAUAUGACGCAGCUCGAAAUGAAUUCUCAGAAGAAAACGUAUCCAAAUACAUACAUCUACUGCCUCAAUAAAGAAAAAAGAAUUGUCCGACUCACUCGACACCUCUGUGCGACUCGCUCCAUUAUCCCACUCCAACUAAGGGGGAAGGUGGCACCAUCAAGUUAUGACAAAAAUGAGCAGAUUCAGUAGAUGGACUUCUGCGAACUAGAAACAGGUCUAGCAGGCCCGGCCAAGAAUAGCAGCCGGC
Gasterosteus aculeatus aculeatus (three-spined stickleback) is the source of this 3886-nucleotide long non-coding RNA. The record is from Ensembl. Lineage: Eukaryota; Metazoa; Chordata; Actinopteri; Perciformes; Gasterosteidae.